AGCUUGGAAGCAGCUAUUCAUUCAAAGAGUGCGUAACAGCUCACUAGUCGAGCGGCAAAGCGUGGAUAAUAAACGGGCAUCAAGUAUACCACCGAAGUUCUGGGCACGAAAGUGCGGUAGGGGAGCAUUCCAUUGACGUCGAAGCCAUUCCGCGAGGAUAGGUGGAGUUUAUGGAAAAGCAAAUGUAGGCAUGAGUAACGAUAAUGCGGGAGAGUAACCCGCACACCGCAAGACCAAGGUUUCCUGAUCAACGCUAAUCGGAUCAGGGUUAGUCGGGUCCUAAGGGUAAGCCGAACGGCGAUCUCGAUGGAUAAUCGGUUAAUAUUCCGAUACUAACAUAUACCUCGAUGGAGAGACGAAGGAACGUAAGUGCCGCCACCUGACGGAAUAGGUGGUUAAAGGGCGUAGGUAUAGGGGCAGAUUAAGAGUUAGUCCUUGCUGAAACCUGACAGUACAGAGAGCCUACGGGCAAUUUGAUAGAGCACCCAAGUCGACUUCCGAGAAAAUCUUCUAAGUUAUAGUAUAUGUUACCCGUACCGUAAACCGACACAGGUGGUCGAGGAGAGUAUCCUAAGGUGCUCGAGUGAAUCACGGUUAAGGAACUAGGCAAAUUAACCCCGUAACUUCGGGAAAAGGGGUCCCUAUGAAAGUAGGGCGCAGCGAAGAGGUCCAGGCGACUGUUUAUCAAAAACACAGGGCUCUGCAAAUUCGAAAGAAGACGUAUAGGGCCUGACACCUGCCCGGUGCUGGAAGGUUAAGAGGGGAUGUCAUCGCAAGAGAAGCAUUGAAUCGAAGCCCCAGUAAACGGCGGCCGUAACUAUAACGGUCCUAAGGUAGCGAAAUUCCUUGUCGGGUAAGUUCCGACCUGCACGAAUGGUGUAACGAUCUGGACACUGUCUCAACCGUGAGCUCGGUGAAAUUGUAGUCCCGGUGAUGAUGCCGGGUACCCGCAACGGGACGAAAAGACCCCGUGAACCUUUACUAUAGCUUAACGCUGAAUUUGGGUACACAAUGUGUAGGAUAGGCCGGAGGCUUUGAAGCGGGCACGCCAGUGUUCGUGGAGCCGACGUUGAAAUACGGCCCUUUGUGUAUUUGAGUUCUAACCCUGCGAAGGGGACACCGUUUGGUGGGUAGUUUGACUGGGGUGGUCGCCUCCAAAAGCGUAACGGAGGCUUCCCAAGGUACCCUCAGCACGAAUGGUAACCGUGCGCGGAGUGCAAUAGCAUAAGGGUGCUUGACUGUGAGACAUACAAGUCGACCAGGUACGAAAGUAGGGUAUAGUGAUCCGGUGGUUCUGCGUGGACUGGCCAUCGCUCAAAGGAUAAAAGGUACUCCGGGGAUAACAGGCUGAUCGCCGCCAAGAGCUCAUAUCGACGCGGCGGUUUGGCACCUCGAUGUCGGCUCGUCACAUCCUGGGGCUGGAGAAGGUCCC
RNAcentral lists this ribosomal RNA (1432 nucleotides) under metagenome. Its description in RNAcentral is "bacterial LSU rRNA". It matches the Rfam family "Bacterial large subunit ribosomal RNA", at positions 1103 to 2566 of the family's 2925-position model. The record is from RNAcentral.